Molecule: small nucleolar RNA, 104 nt
Organism: Salvia miltiorrhiza (redroot sage)
Lineage: Eukaryota; Viridiplantae; Streptophyta; Magnoliopsida; Lamiales; Lamiaceae
Source: RefSeq, a predicted model, not a curated record
AACUGAUGUUGGGGGCACUGCUAGAACAACUCCUGAAAUCUUUUCCAUGCCUCAUGGAAAGGCUCAUCCGCUCCUUGAAUAAAAGUCAUGAUCUGAGUACGGAU